Molecule: ribosomal RNA, 389 nt
Filed under: uncultured bacterium
Lineage: Bacteria
Description: bacterial SSU rRNA
Rfam family: Bacterial small subunit ribosomal RNA
Source: RNAcentral
GACGAACGCUGGCGGCGUGCUUAACACAUGCAAGUCGAGCGGUAAGGCCCUUUCGGGGGUACACGAGCGGCGAACGGGUGAGUAACACGUGGGUGAUCUGCCCUCAGCUCUGGGAUAAGCCUGGGAAACCGGGUCUAAUACUGGGAUAUGACUCCAUGACGCAUGUUGUGGGGUGAAAGCCUUGUGCGGCUGAGGAUGGGCCCGCGGCCUAUCAACUUGUUGGUGGGGUGANGGCCUACCAAGGCGACGACGGGUAGCCGGCCUGAGAGGGCGACCGGCCACACUGGGACUGAGACACGGGCCCAGACUCCUACGGGAGGCAGCAGUGGGGAAUCUUGCGCAAUGGGCGAAAGCCUGACGCAGCGACGCCGCGUGAGGGAUGACGGCCU